Molecule: long non-coding RNA, 4332 nt
Organism: Panthera leo (lion)
Lineage: Eukaryota; Metazoa; Chordata; Mammalia; Carnivora; Felidae
Source: Ensembl
AGUUUUAACAGCUUUCGGAGAUUUUCACAAAGUCACGGUUGACCGAUGUAUAUUGUCUGAAAAGUUUGCAGCACUUGGUAUGUGUCUGUCAGGGCUCAAAGCCGCUGCACGUGGGGCAGCCUGGCCUAGAGCGCAGAGAAGUAAGGCGGGCGCAGAGAACGCGGACCCGCGCACCAAAGCGGCAAAACGGCACGCAGACGCUCCAGAAUCCUCGGAGGUUCCAGUAACGUGAGCUGCAAGCAGCGGGCUUUAAGACCUGAUGACACUGCCAUCGAGAAUGCUGGUGCGUGAUUUCUUCAAAAACCAUUCGCACCGCAUUGCUGAAGCUACGAUAGCGUCACAGCUGCUUUUACAUCCCGUUAUUUCAUAGCCCGUACUUCCAGAUUUCAACAAUUGGUGUUUUCCAAACAGGCCUGGAACAAAAGGCGACCUUGGCUGGGAAUUUAGAUCGCGACGCUCCAGCACACCUUCCAAGCCUAACCUCAAGGGCUGGGAUGCCCACUUAGAUCCCAGCCGAGCGGACCCUUCCUUCCCCCGCGCGCCCUUCCCGGCUCCACAGACCCCUGACAUUCCGCCAACAUGGCCGCGCUCACAGCCCGCUCGUUUCCGACCGUUUCUCGGGCGUUCGUGCGGCGAGCGCAGCGUUGUUUGCGAGCUUCCCCACGGGAGGGACACACGGAGGUGCCAGCAAUCUGACCGGAGCCCCCCAGGUGAGCGGCGGAAAGACCGCGGGGGCAAAGACCGCCAUGCAGCGCGCGUGCGCCCAGGGUGCCGCCGGAAGUGGGGACGCUCGCGCGCCCCCGCCCCGGCAGCCGCAGCCGGUGCCCCCAGAGCUGGGUGUGCGGCCGGGAACGGGCGAAUUCGCAGAGGUGAGGCGUGGCCGCCGGAGGUCGCAGUGGACUCGGGGGGAACCCAGAUCAGCGUGUGAGUCUCGGCGGAAGAGCUUAAGGAGGGGAGAGGAUCCACGGAGAUUCUCCAGGUGUUCCUUGGCUUGUGGCAGCUUGUCUCUACUCUGCCUCCAUCUUCACGUGGUCUCAUCUUCCCUGGAUGUAGGGUCCAUCUGGAUACUCCUGGAUUCUCUUAAGAUCCUUAAUUACAUCGGCAAAGACCCUUUUUCCACAUGAAGUCUCAUUCGCAGGUUCAUGGGGUUAAUACAUAGCUUUUGGGGGGGGGGGGCACCAUUUAACCAAGUACAAAUGGGGAUGUGGAUUUUAAGGGAUUAUAUGUCCAGAGUCUAACCUUCUAUAUGUCCUUUUUCCCACUUUCCCUUUCUCAUUCAUGCUGCUGCUUCUUUUUUAAGUUUAUUUUGAGAGAGAGCAUCCCAGGCAGGGUCUGCACUGUCAUUGCACAGCCUGAUGCCAGACUUGAUCUCACAAACUGUGAGGUCAUGACCUGAGCCAUGAUGAAGAGUCAGACACUUAAAUGACUAAGCCAUCUAGGCACCCCUCAUUCAGGCCACUUCUGCUUCACAGAAGAAAGGCAUGCCUCCCCCACAUUCAGAUGUUAUGUUUUAUUUGCCUGGGUUAGAAAGCCUUUGGGGGCACCAAGUAAAGAGAAAGUUACAGAUACUGACUUUGACUUAAGGUGGGUGCACAGCAGCAGUGUCAGUGUCUGGGCCCAGAGCGAAUGGAUCAUCCAAAAUGAACUCGCCCUUCACCCCACAGGUCCUGGAUUCUCAGGAAUAAGAGAGAUCCAGUAAAGGACGAGUAGGGGUUCUUGGAGUUGCAUACGGCCAUUCGUGGGACAUCCUUGUCCUAAGACCAAGAUUUCUGAACAGAAAAUUAGGGCAGAUCCAGAAGAACUGACAUCCCUGUUACUGGGCAUUUUCUGAAACAGAAGAAAAUGAUGAAGGCCCAAGUGACUUUUGGUUUGUUGUAUUCAAACGUUGAGUCUUUCAUGGAUUUGGGGAGGCCUGAAAAAAUCAGUUCGACUAAAUAAAAAGUGUAAAUGGGCAAAAAUGGGCUCUGGGGAGAAAUAGAUGGCCCUUCAAAAUUAGGGCAGAGUGGGAUCAGGAACAUGUUGUUCCUAGAUUCGUGCAUGACUAGUGCUGGACUAUGGUGUGUGGAUCUGCAGGAUCCUGCUGGUGCCACCAUCAGUGUGUACCUACUUACUAUCUCUGACAGUCAUUGCAGCCAGAAAAUCACGGAAAGUUACAUCAGAUGCCUUGACUCAGGACAAAGCAUAUCAGUUCCUCAGGAGAGGUCACCAUUUCAUGGCACGUAAGCGUUAGGAACUCUCUUUGAUGGUUUCUUUCCAGAGGUGACCUGGUAGGCUGUGUGAUCUCAGCAGCCUUCUUCUAAUCAGUGUACGAGCAUGGCUGUUACUUACCUGAUUAUUCUGAGUCCCCCGUGGGAGUAGAUCAAGUAGAAUUCAGUAGACACUGGUUUUUGAGGAGACCACAGCCUGAUGACUUCCAUACCCAGCCUUACUUCCAUCUGGAUCUGUCCUUGAGUAGAACUGAAAGUGCCCAGUAAAAUGGAAGGUUUGCACACCUUUCAGAGGCCCUCUGUGAACAGGUGGCUGGACUGGUGUUUGAGUACAGAUUUGGCCAGAGGGAGUUACAAGUUCUUAUCUGGUGCUGGCUCGGGUUGUUGAGAUCCACACAGGGUUGCCUUAGAACUUCAGCUCAUCUCAGAAAACAUAGAGCCUUCUGUGUUCAAAAUCGAGUUGUCACCUUCCACCUUUGUACUGCCUUUAAUUACACAAAUGACUCAUUGUGGCAUAAUAAAAAAUAUAUAUGUAUUUGCUCUUUGUCUCUGGUUCCUGGCUGAGCUCCUAUAUCCCAUUAUUUCCUAAGUGGCAGGAGUGUCUUUUGUUUUCAUGACAAGCCCCUUUGAGCAUAUCUAAGUUUAUGCUAAUGAGGUGACUCAAGGUAAGCCCCUAGAUAGCUUCAGGAUGAGGGCUGGUCCCCCAAAAGACCAAGCUUUGAUUAGAGGGCUGGAACUUUCAGCUCCACCUGGAACUCAGGACAGGAGAAGAGCUGCAGCUGGAGUUCUGUCACCAGUAACCAGUGAUUUAAUCAGUCAUGCCUAUGUAACGGAACCUCCAUAGAAACUUGACAGGGUUCAGAGAGCUUCCACGUGGGCAGACCCAUCCACCUGCUAGGAGGGCAGUGCACCCCAACUCCUUGGGGACAGAGGCUCCUCCACGCAGGACCUCUUUGGACCUCACCUGAGUACCUCUUCAUAGUAUGAUUUAUAAUAAACUAACUUUUUAAUGUUUGUUUAUUUUUGAGAGAGGGGUAGAGAGAUAGAGACAGGGAGACAGGAAACAGGCUCUGCACUGAGAGUAAAGAGCCCGAUUCAGGGCUGGAACUCACAAACCGUGAGAUCAUGACCUAAGCCGAAGUAGAAUACUUAACCAACUGAGCCACCCAGGUGCCCCCAUAAUAAACUGUAAUUUUAAGUCCAAUAUUUUCCUGAGUGAGUUCUAGCAAAAUCACACCUGAGAGGGGAAGGUUGUGGGAACCCCUAAAUUUAUAGCCACGUUGCAUAGAAGUGCAGCUAACAUGGGGACCUGGAACUUGUGACCGGUCUCUGAAGUGAAGGCAGUCUUGUAGAACCGAGUGAGCCCUUAAGCCGGUAAGGUCUGAUGCUGACUCUGAAUAGUUAGUGUCAGAUAGGAUUGAAUUAUAGGACGCCCAGUGCCUGAGAAUCAGAGACUUGGAAAAUUAGUAUUGGAAGAGACCAUGUAUUUGGUGUCAGGAAGAACCACAGAGUCAGAUACAUUUUCAAUGUAAAAGGCUCAUUAUAUAGUACACGUAGUGAUAAAGUUCCCCUCCAUACAUUCUUUGGCCCACAAUUCUCUGGCACAUCAUUAACACAUGCUUGGUAGUGUGUUCCUGUGUUCUGGGCAUUUACCUACGUGUAUCUAUGUGUGUGUGUGUAUAUGUGCAUGCCUGUGUGUGCAUAUAUCUACGUGAAUCUAUGUAGGCAAAUGCUUAUACCUGUGAAGACAUUUUUACGAGCAUAAACUCAUACUAUGUCACCCUGAUGUCCCUAGCAUUUCAUACAGUGACUGACAAAUAGGUGCUGAAAUACACAGAUUGCAAAUGCUCUCAGGUUAGCAAGAGGAUUUAAUGGCUGCAUGUCACAGAUAUCUGUGAUUUGUGGGAUAAAAGAAUGACUGAAUAUUUUAAUGACUUUGCUUCUUUCGUGAUUAAUUGAAAAAAAUAAGAAUAGAAACAGCUUACAAGGUGAAAAUGAGCAGAACCACUUCCUUCACAUUCCUUUUGAGUAGGGAAAACCUCGCCCUUCCUCCUUUGUGUCUCCUUAACUCUCAUAUCACUGCUACAGUCACAUCACUUCUGAUGCCAGGCAUGGGGACCCCCCC